Non-coding RNA from Oryctolagus cuniculus (rabbit), 6150 nucleotides. Lineage: Eukaryota; Metazoa; Chordata; Mammalia; Lagomorpha; Leporidae. The record is from RefSeq and is a predicted model, not a curated record.
GGACCCGGAAGUGCCUCUGCACGCAUGGCCGCUCUGCCCCACGGUGCUCAGGUGGGAGUGAGCGCCUUGUCCGCUCCUGCCCAGAGCCAGCGCAGGCCCUGAGGAGCCGUCCUGGACGCUGCUGGCCGAGCCUGAGGGAGACCCAGCGCCCCGGGUCAGGCCGGGGCCAUGUAGGCUGCAGCUGAGGCGGCCAUUACCCUCAGGACUCCAUGCCUGCCCUGAGGAACAGCGAGGUCCUCUCUGGGGGAGCUGGGCGCGGGGUGUGGUCAGCUGAGGAGGCCUUGCUGUCACCGGGUACAGGAGGAUACUUCAGAACGUCACAGGGAACUGAAGUGGAAAGCUUAUUGUGGAGCAGAAGUUCGUGUCAAGAGGCAGCAGAAAUGUCCUCCCCAGGCUGAGGAGAGGAGGAUGUGGAGUGACCCCGUGGGAACGUGUGCCUGGGACAGAGCUCCACCGGGCAAAGCAGGGAGUGUGAGCUGGAGAUCUGCCAUCCAGUGACUCUUUUCUCAAAUGGCUGCCGUUGCCAGCACUGGCCCAGACAGAAGCCAGGAGCCAGGGACUCCAUCUAGGUCUCCCAUGAGUGUGGCUGUGGUCCAAGUACUUGGGCCAUCACCUGCUUCCUGCAUGGUUCACCAGUGUGGAGCAUUGGGACCGGAAGUGUCGCUGCUCCACCACAGCUGGAGCAAGCUGAAGCCAAUAGUGGGAGCCAGAAGAGAAUCCAGGUGUCCUCCAAAGUAGCAGGAACUCAGUCAUUUGAGCCAUCACCAGUGCCCCCCAGGGCCUGCAUGAACAGGAACCGGAAGUCAGGAGCCUGAGUCGGUGUCAGACCCUGUGCUGCAGUCUGGGAUGCAGGCAUCCGAACUGGCACGGGAACCCCAGAAGACAGUGUCAUCUCUGCACUUCAUCUUUCUGGAGACGUGGCUGUCAGGCACUUCUAUGACCUCCGUGUUCCAGGUCAGUGUCAAUGUGGAUGCCUAGAGGAAAACCGCAUUGAGGACCAGAAGCCGAUUCCCCUGAGGGACCGGGUGGUCACCUGCCUGCCCCUCCUCCAUUGGGCACCUCUGACAGCUUGGCUGCCAGAAGUGGCCGUGUGUGAGCUUCCAGGGCAUGUCCCUCAUGGGGCGGAUUCUCUCCCAGGGAAUGUGUGUGCAGCCUCUGUGUUUGAGAUCGUUUUCACCAAGGACUUUGUACCUAGCCACGUGUGGUGGUUCUUCCAGCAGCCGGCUGCUUCCCAUUAGUGCUCCAUGGAAGCCACCGGGCCCAGCUGCUCUCAGGUCCAUGGUCGGCUGCUACCUCUGCCUGAGCCUCGGGCUCUGGGCUGAAGCAGCGUGCGAAGUGGAAAAUCUCGUGGACUUGUUUCUCUGAUCCAGCAUAGAGAUCUUUUAAGGUCCUACAAAGGAACUGUAAAGCUGUGGAUUCCUGCGUGGAUUCCUGCGGACCUCCUUCUAAGGGGUGGAAUACAGAGUACUGAGUGGUUAAAGGCCUCAGGGAUACGGAGAAGACGGCCGUUUCAAUGCAUCUUGCUGUGUUGCUAAACUUUGCGUAUGGGACAGUUUCUUCUGUAUCCCACUCAACUCGAAGUCUGGGCUAGUGAGGAUCCAGAACUUCCCAAAUCUCAGGGAUCUAAACUGGAGGUAGAUUCCCCAGCAUGUGAUCUGACUGCAAAAAGCUGUGCUCUCUCAGUCAAAGAGGGGAAGCUAUGUUACAUAUGUUUGACCUUCGCAGACUCACAAAACAGCUGAGAAUAUUUCUGGGAAUGGCAAGAUUCUGUAGAGUACGGAUCCCGUGAUGUGGACUCCACGCUUCUGUAGAUGGCUUUAAAAGGCCCUGAGGCAGACACACUGUGCUGGACGGGGAGCUGCAAAAGGAGUUCCAAGGAACGAAGGCACUGCUAACAAAAUUCCAACAUUAGGAAUUCCUGAGGAGGGCAUUCAUGGAAAGAUCCUCUUCAGAUCAGUUAUAGCUUACAUGGAAGGGACUACCAGGCGCUACUGAGCACACCCACCCCAGUGAGGUUAGGAUGAAACUUCUACCUCUUAAGUCUUCUCAGGUGAAUUCCAAAAGACACACCUGAUUAUUCCUGUAAGCCAAGUAGAGGCCUUCAGCAAAGAGAGUAAAGCUUUGACAUUCCUCACAUCAAGAGUGCUGCUGUCCCUUCAGACACCUGUGCCUGCCUCUCUCAAUUCUCUCUGGGAGCUGCUACUGACAUGCAAGUCCUCAUGUGUUUUUCUAUUGUAAUCCUCUACGCUCAAGUGAAAUGAGUUUAUAAUCUGUCACCACCCACUAUGUGGGAGUCUGUACGGUACAUUCUUUCCAUCUUACGGGGCACUGGGCUCACAAUUGGUCUUGUUCCACUUCUGUUAUGCUACUUAACAAACUUAUCUGUUUCAGAACUUAACUUCUGGGAGUAGCUGACCAUGCAGGGGACACAGACAUUGGCAGGGACGGAGACCGCUCCAGCUCACAAAGCAAACUUGUUGGAUGAGCUAGGCAGAGACUCCCAGCCCCAGCAAGGCAGGGCCUGCACUACGCCCCUCAUAAGCAGGAAGCAGCUAUAGAAGAUGUGAUGAUUCUACAGCCUUCAGCAUCCCUUAGGAUUAAGGGACUGGAGUCUCUGAAGGGGCUGUGAUGUAGGCGGGCAUAUAGGAUUAGGUUUGUGAGCUGGAAGACCACGCCCUCAUGCCCCUACCUGACCACAUCUGUACACCCACCUGCCAGUCAGACUAAGCUCUCCUCUUUGGAAGUGGAUUAAAGGCCUGGGGCCUGAUGGGCCUGGCUGAGUGAAAGGCUAUACUACUGGCAGAGAUUUUGUCCAUACAGACAGGGUGAUGUGGGUGAUUCUGCCCCUAGCUGGGGGAUUGCCUGCCCAGCCCAUGCAGGAGAUGAGCCUGACUGCUGGCAGGCAGCAGAAGCCACAGGCACAUUUCCCCCACCCUGCUGCCUGUUAGAGGGCCCUGUAAUUGCCUAUCAGGGAAAUACUUCCGGGUGUGGCCCAGGCCCAUCGGGAAGGCUCCAGUCUAUGUGACCUUCAAGCUGAUGGAGGAGCCUAGCAGGGCCAAUAUUGGCUCUAUCCUAUAGACUUAGUGUUGCCCUGAAUUAGCUACGCCCCUUCUGUCUGCCCUUUAAGAGGUGUGCCUGAUCAUUAAUAAAAUGGAUAUGUUCACUGAAACUUGUCUCCAGUGCUUCUUGUAAAGAAGGCCGUCGCCCCAUAUCCCACAAAGCCCGGGCCUCACAGGAUGAUCCCACAACCAUCUCAGCCCAGGGCACUGAGACGGAAAGGGAGGGGCUGGUGGAAAGGAAGGGGCCCUUGGUGCCAGUGGGGGCACUAGGCCUUCAGGGGUCCACCAUCUGGGUGUGUGGCAGCACCCCCACAUCGGUUGGGGGUUGCUGUCUUGAGCAGGGCCAGGCUGCCCAGGGCUGAGGGAGCUGUGUCCCCACACCAGCUCUCCCCAAGAAGUCACCCUGGAACUGAACGAGUCCGGUGGCCUUCCUGAGAGAUGCUCAGUGCUGUGAGUGCACCUGGGGCUCCAGGUACCUGGGACCACCACAACCCCCACGUCCCCCUGCCUAUCCUCUUCCCUGUGCACUGGCUGCCUUAGGUGCCAUGAGGCCUCUCUCCCUGACAUCUGUGGGUACAGCCUCCACGUGUGACUCCUGCCCAUAGGCCCCACUCCUCCCAGCACAGACCCGGGAGCAGGGCCCUCAGCUGCAGCAACCCCGCUCCCAUGGUGGGGUCUGUACUUUGCAUGCCCACAGGCAGGUCCAGAGCCCUAGAUGCCACACCCAUGGCCUUCCCUCAGGCUAGGUCUUAGUAAGCAUCAGGCCUGGCCCCAGAGACCCAGGCACCUGCUGGACAACUGCCCCCCUGCUCGGCUGGUGCCUAGAUCCUAUGGACACAGCUCAAGUGCUGUUCAUGCAAACGUGAACCUGUACAGUGGAGCCCUCAGGAACUGCUGCCCAGAGGUCUGUCCCCCGAUCAGAACGGGGACAGCCCCACAUCCAGGUGGGUGGGCACCUGGUGGCCGGGUCCCAGGAGUAUGACUUGUCAAGAGCACAGGGACUAGGGACAGUUGGGCAGGGAUAGCCCCUGGCUGCCUCCCCUGCCCUCGGCAAGGAAGCUCCUCCCUGAGCCUGGCAUCCAUGUGUCCAAGGAGCACCACAGCCCAAGCCAAGGACUCUCCAUGUACUACUUCCCCUUCCACAACUCUGGGGCUCCCCAUAGACAGCUCUCACUUCAUGUGCUGAUGCCCAGGAUGGCCUCAGUUCCAGGGCAGGGGUGCGGCCUGAAGUCUCUGCACACUGGGCAGAGCCGGCACAGGGUAAGGUCGGAAUCAAUAAGCAGCCGGAAACUCUGCCACUCCCAACAGUCUGGGGACACUGAGGUCAACACACAGGUGUCCCCACACCAUGAGUUCCACAAGUAUCAUGGGCAUGUGAUGAGAUAGCAGGGUCAGAAGGGUGGCUGGGCUCUCAGCAAGGACCUCCGACACCCAGGCCUCCUGACUGGGUGUCAGGACAGUGGGUGUGCACUGCUCACCCAUUUUGGGGAGCAGGGGCCCCUAUGUUCUGUCGGAAGAAGACGUGGCCACCUGGAUACCGCUUGGAUGCCCUGAGCCUGGCCAGCCAUUGAGGGACUUGGGACAGCGGCAUCCAGUCAGAGCUGGGCUCCUCUGUCCCUAUCUACCUUUCCCUCCUUGGACACCUGCUCCUCAUAUCGACAGCCCUUCCUAUCUGCUGGAGGUGUCCUGGAGGCCCUGGGAUGCACAGGGCCAUCACAGCCUCAUGCCAGGGCCUGGGGACUCUGUCCCCCCUGGUGCCCAUGCUGCUGGCCCUGGGCCAGGACGUCUGGGACCCUCUCCUGUGGUCUCUGCUGGCACAGAAAUGCCCAGGGGUCCUCCUCAUGACCUGGCCAUUCUGCGCAGUGGUCUGCUCUGGUAGUGCCACAGUCUCAGCUGCUGGCACAUUCAGCACCUGGGGCCGCCAUUUAGCUGCCCGUACCCAGGACCAGCUGCUGAGGCCAAACCAUCUGUGGGGCUCCAGUUUCAUCUCCUGCUUUGGGACCAAGACCUCCUCCUCCAUCAGGUCUUCCCUGAGCCUUCUGGUCAAGUGAUGGUGACCAGCAAGCUCUGGAGUCAGGUGUUUGGGGAGGGCAAUCCUAUGUCUGUAUGUGCAUAUUUCUGUACUCACGUGUGAAUACAUGUGUAUAUUCAUGUAUAUACCUGUACAUAUGUGUGAAUAUAUAUACCUAUUUAUUUAUUAUUCCUAGCAAAUAAGUUUCUAUACCAACUUUCCUGGAAUACAUUUUUAAAAAUACAAUAUGUAACUGUUUAAUAUACAUUACAAAAUCCUUAAGUUUAGAAAUUUCCAACUGUCUAAAUAUCCAAAGACUCCCACCUUCCAGUAUAACCAUGAAUCAGUUAAUCAGCAAAAUUAAAAUUAACCUGUAUUCUGACAUUGAGAAAUGACAUAAAAAUACCAACAAUAUAACGUCCGCAUAGAAAAUGUCAACAGUGAAUCCUGAUUGCUACCUUUAUGUAUUUUGUCUUGUUUGUGGGACACAGGAUUUGUCCUUUUUAAAACAUGAACCCUAUGUUAAAUGCAGGGCUAGGCUAUGGAGGGCAGACCUGUGUUCAGUUGAGAACUUUGUAGAGCACGGGUAUGUCUAGUCCUUGUGUAAGUGGGUACAUAAGUGUCUGAAUAAAUAGAUGACAAAGAUUACUUCAUGUGUAAGUCAAAAAUAAUCCCACACAGCACGUUUGUAAGGAAGAAGAGAAUGAACGGGUACCAAAAUGUUUUUAAAGACUGAGUUAAAUUCUUUUUAAAAGUCUGUGUUAAUAGUGUGCUAUGUAUAUUAUAUAUGUAUAUAGUAUCCAAUUUUAAAUACACUCUAGUAGUUGGCCUUGAUGUUGUAUUUAAUUUAUAGCUAUGUCUUCCUUUGUUAUUUUUUACUUUUAUUAAAAAGGAUUUAAUUAUUUAUUUAAAAAUCAGAGUUACACACAGGGAGGCAGAGAAGCAGAGAGAGAGAGAGGUCUUCCAUCUGCUGGCCCACUCCCCAAUAGGCCGCAGCAGCCGGAGUUUAGCAGAUCCGAAGCCAGGAGCCAGGAGCCUCCCCGGGCCUCCUGAGUGGGUGCAGGGCCCAAGGACUUGGGC